UUCAGAAGCAAGAAGAGGCUUAGUUAGUGUUUUAGAGUCAAAUAUGACUUGAUGUCAUGUGUAUGAUUGCGUAUAAGAACUAUGAUAA
Molecule: small RNA, 88 nt
Filed under: Arabidopsis thaliana (thale cress)
Lineage: Eukaryota; Viridiplantae; Streptophyta; Magnoliopsida; Brassicales; Brassicaceae
Description: ATSL163060
Source: RNAcentral